UACUUUUAAAGGUCGCCAUAUCGGUGUGUAAAUGUGGGUCUCACACCACAUGGAUUUGCAAACGAAAAUCAGCCCAUAUGACUGAAAGUAAAACAUAAGUUAGAAAGAAGACUCACCCGGCUUUCCCCAAAAAUUGGAGAAUCAGGAGCAAACGUUUAUGCUUACAAAUGUGCCAUGGAUCUCUGCCAAAAUGUCUCCCCGGGUCAUCCUCGGUUUCUCUGCGCUGUGACAAUGCCUGUCAAAUAGUGUCGGAAGAAUGUUAUUAUGAAGAUUGCACAAGACCAUCCACAGAACAGCUCUUUACUGUUCACAGGUCGAGCACUUCUUGUGGGCAUCGGGUUGCGUGUGAGAUUGACAAGGGGUCGGGGUUAUGGUCAGGUUGCCCCUGGGUCACGGGACGUCCAGGCAGAUCGUCAUUCUAGUACCAGCUGAGGAAGCGUUUAAAGUGCAAGAGGCAAAAGAAGGUGAGAAGGUCUACAGGAAGGUUUUCUCAUGAUCCUGUUUGACCCAGGGCGGCGCUUUCCGUGGCACAGCCAGCGUCAACUUUGAGAGGGAGGCAGGGUGGAUCCGGGCCCACAGGUGCUGCACAGAUGCCUCCAGAGCUCGGCGGGAUGGCGCGAGAAGCUCUGGGACGAGGAACCAAGCGCAGCAGACAGGGGGAGGCUCGUGGGCUCCGUCUUCUAAACGAAACCUCACAUCUGCUUCACCAUUCUCCUGCAGUAAUUACCACUCACACCCACUGUGCAGAUGACUUUCUCCACGCCGGUCACACCCCAGCACUUCUUCAACCAAGUGGAUUUGAACGGGAAUGGUUUAUGAAAACAAAUAAAUCUAAAACAUUUCUUUUUUUAAGUAGUGCCAAAUUGAACAAAAUCGAAAGCAUCUAUUGUUUUAAGGCAGUCGACCAACCAAUGACUGAUGUCCUUUUAUGUCGCUCUCGAGUUGACUAUAAUUACGGCGCCCCACACUAUCAGAUAUACAGAGAGCGAGAUAAAGCUCAGAAGCUGGUAAUGGAAAUCUGUUUGGAGAGGUGUGGAUUCUAAUAUCUAAUUUUGCCUAAUAAACUAUAACCGAUUUAAUCUCCACCUUAUCAGGCCAAGAUUUCAACACUUUCCUUUUUAAUUGGCUAUUUUGUAAUCCUGAUUCCCAGUGGAGCUGAUGGUCUGUCUCUCCCUCCAGAGGGCUUGCAUGAAAUCAGUUUGAAACGGUGUGUCAAUCUCAUUCAGAAGUGACCAUCUGGCCAGCAUACAGGAGUCGGGAUGGCAUGUCGGACCCCGGGGUCUUGGGGAGGCAAUCAGCACCGGCUUUACACAAUGUGUUAAUGCAAAUUUAUUAGAGAUUUCCUAUUGGUCGCUUUAAUCUGCUUUGUGUCGUCUUCAGACAUGAGCUAAGGACCUGGCGGAGGCCAGAACGCACAUGCGGCACAUGCACACAGUGUGUGAACACACAUACACAGAUCACAACAGGGCCGCGGGCAUGUCAGUACCCUUGCUUCCAGCGCGUGAGCUAAUUUCUUUGGGGAUGAAUAAAACAUUAAAAACAACAAUAAGCUUGAUCUGAAUAUUGGGCUCAGUGUUCACAUAUGCUUUUGCAAUAAAGCCGAUUCCCUUCCCGGCCCCCCCCAACUCGUCCCUGAAAUUCAUAUGUGUACAUUUCAUGUUGACCUAUUCUGUUUUAAAGCGUAUGAGUGUCUUAUAUUAUAAUACUGCGUUGAAGUCCAGUCUUGGGGUUAUUGAAUAAAAAGGAUAAAAAUAGAGAGAGGAUUGUUUGUUUGUACAGCAAAUAAAACAAUACAGCUUCAAAAUGGUUCGGAUGAAAACAAACCGACCAUAUUACACACUUUCAAGAUUAUUUAUCAUAAUAAUAACAGUUGGGCGGUCGUGCGAAAAAGCUGCACUUGUUGUGUUGUCUGUUUUUAUUAUGAUAACCGCACGCAAAAGUUUAAUUUGUUCAAUUUUCGCCGGGCUAUUGAGAUGGGAAUGUAAUACUAUCAGUCUCACUUCAUUUUGAAGUAAUUAAACAUAUGUGGAGGCCAGCGGUAUUCUUAAAGUUACAUUAUCAUAUCUGUGCAAGACAGGAAGAGGGAUUUGUGAAAGUAUGGGCACUGAACAGGACUUCUAUGCAAACCUAUGAUUUCAUUUUAACCUUGAAAUGUUCCUUAACAAAAGCGGAGAAGUGGGAGAUAAAGAAAUGGAGAAAAAUACAUUCCCAUUAUUUUUAAUUGGACAAGCACUUUCGCUUGACACUGUGGAGAGAGCCUUUAAAAGAUAAGUUAAGUGAGUUGUUCCACAGAGACGGAAAAAAAUAACUAUUUCUAAUUUAGUUCAAAAGGCUAGAGCUUUCGAGUUUUUUUUCUUUUUCUGGACAAUGGGACAGAGUCGCUGUAAACAAUUGACUUUCUUUGCAAAGGAGCUUGUUCAUUUGCGCCUUAGCGCGCUUGUGUGCAUCUUAUCUGGCGGGGAACCUUAACGCCGACCCUGAAAACAUUACGAGAAACAAACUGCGUGACAUUUAUCAGCACGAGUGACGUUUUAAAUGGCGUACAGUUACAAUCUGGUCAUCAUCGGUGAGUGACAUCUGAGCAAACGUGUUCGUUCUGUAUCGUGUGAGAAUAAUGGGAAAAGCCCUUGCAUUAUUGCCAACUCUUCCUGGAAGCUAUAGAGCUUGUCAUUAAUCCCAACUGUCUGUAAAAUUGAAGCAAUAAAAACCUGUACGCUGUACGUCAAAUAUCUCAGCAGUGAUGCUCAGGAAAAAAUAUAGAUCCGCAGACAAAUAAAGAGAUUUAUCCCUGAUUGUUUCAGUUAAGAUUCCUGGGCUCCCCACGUUCCCUUUGUUGUACAAGAGAGAGACAUUACACCCAUGGCAGCCCGUGACCUCAUUUGCCGAGAAGAAAUUUAAUUAACAAGGCAAACAUUGUCUGUGACAAUGCCUCUGCUGAGACUCCAGCAGAUAGCAGCUACUGCCCAAACCGGUAUUGUAACAGUAUGACGGUCGGCCUUAAAAUAAUACACAUCGACGCGCUAACUCACAAACACGGGCGCUAUUAAACUGCCGCUAUGCGCAGCGUGCUUUUUUCAAACGCCGGGGCCAAUAAGAAAAUAAACACGCCACUGUAAUUGCUCCAGACCCCUCGCAGCAGUCUGCCGUCCAGUCGCUCAUGAAAAAAAGAUGCGUGGAGUUUCGGCUGCGGAUGCCAGCUGAGCUGACAAUAUGCUCUUGGUACUCAGCCACGUGAAGAGAGGGUGGGACCCUUCGUCCUUUUGCAUCAUAAAGCCAUUCAAAUCUCUCUGUAGCCGCUCUAAAGUGUUUGAACAGAAAGGGAGGGCACAGAUUUGGCAGCACAUGGCGAAGAAAGUAGGCAUCAGACGGCUGUCAUUCAUGAGGAGUGUCUGUACCUCUCUGUGUAAAUGCUCUGGGGAUGCUUGCUAGUCAUUUAGCCCAGGGAGGCUGAUUACAGCGAUGUGUUGGCUGAGAUCAUUUGGACAGAAUGGGCACAAAAUAGAAAUCAGUGGGCAGUGGAUGCCUGGGCCUUGUUCGCUCCGUACUGCUGUGACACAAUAAACACCCCAAUCGUUUAGCUAUGAGUCUACGUGUCACCUUUACUAGAUAGCAUCUGAUGUCAUGCUGGUAGAUUUUAGUCAAGGAAGUCUACAAUACCCGAUGACAUUUGCCAUCAUUGCUCAUGUGUGCUCAGUUUGUUUUGAGGCUGAGCCAUUGAUGCAAAGUUGAGAGUCACAGAAAAUUGAUGUCAUAACAAUGCUGAAUGGCCAAUAGCACCAUACACGGUUAGAAAAAAAUUGUCAAAAUAUGUACCCUCGCUGUCACUGGGGUAGUAACUCAUAUAGUCACAUAAUUUUGUGAGUGUUUUCCGUGACACUGACACGUUUUCCCGCCUUUUUGCGUGAACAUGUCACGUAUUUCUGUUUAUGUGUCACUGUCACGUAUUUGUUACUCAACUGUUUUGUCCUAUUUUCAAACCAUUGAUACUUCGGUUUAGGGUUAGAUUUGGUGUUUGCGUUAGGAUAUCACUUUAAGUAUUGGUUUAUACUUUUUUCAUUAUUUAUUUUUUAUAAUUUUUGAUUUUUAAACCAUUGUCGCCUAGCAUUAGGGUUAGAGUUUGUUUGGGUAAGAAUGUAAGUUUAUGUAAAUCUAACUCUUAAUCGAAGCGACAAUGGUAAGAAAAUAGUACAAAACAGUUGAGUAACAAAUACGUGACAGUGACAUGUUCA
Misgurnus anguillicaudatus (oriental weatherfish) is the source of this 4229-nucleotide non-coding RNA. NCBI's taxonomy places the organism in Eukaryota, Metazoa, Chordata, Actinopteri, Cypriniformes, Cobitidae. The record is from RefSeq and is a predicted model, not a curated record.